This 1236-nucleotide long non-coding RNA is filed under the name Pongo abelii (Sumatran orangutan). RNAcentral describes it as "lincRNA". Lineage: Eukaryota; Metazoa; Chordata; Mammalia; Primates; Hominidae. The record is from RNAcentral.
AAAAUCAGGGCCGGGCGCGGUGGCUAACGCCUGUAAUCCCAGCACUUGGGAGGCCCAGGCGGGUGGAUCACAAGGUCAGGAGUUCGAGACCAGCCUGACCAAUAUGCAGUAUGGUGACACCCCGUCUCUACUAAAAAUACAAAAAUUAGGUGGGCGUGGUGGCACGUGCCUGUAGUCCCAGCUAUCCUGGAGGCUGAGGCAGAAGAAUCACUUGAACCUGGGAGUUAAAGGUUGCAGUGAGCCGAGAUCAUGCCACUGCACUCCAGCCUGGGCGACAGAGUGAGACUCUGUCUCAAAAAAAAAAAAAAAAAAAAGAUAUGAAAAUCAGAUACAUACCAUCUUUUUAGUUCCUAAGGCUCUCACAAGAUUAUUUUGAAUAAACACCACCCAUUCAAACUGGUUUUUCCCUUUCCUGUAUUAUAUGAAGGGGAAAAUCCUCAUGGGAUGGAUAGUUUCCAGAAUUUGCCCAUUUCCAAGCCAGUACAGUAAAUGACAUGGGGGCCACUGAGUGGACCAUUGUAGAAAGCAAUGGUUCUUGUUUCUUAUUUUUUACAUUAUUUUCAGGGAUGUGUGUCCCAUCAAAGUCUCAUUAUGGAGGAGCUGAAUUAUCCCGGGACACCUAUGGCAUGGCAGGGCUGCCAGACACCAGCCUAAACUGCUCUCACUCUCAUUUCCAGACCAAGGGCCUCCUGUGGCCUGUAGCAAGCCAUGGGCAAUCACAGCAACCCUCUCUGAGGCCAAGGAAGUUCAGGUAUGAGCUGUACCUGAGGCUGUCCUGGCCUCUCCUCUCCCUUCAGUCCUCACUGGGUGUCUUCUCACCCUGCCCUCUGCCAGCUCCACUGCUUUCCCUGCUGGGUUUCAUUGCUUGUGCAAGGAAGAUACGGAAGGAGCCCAGCCACACAAUGGGUUGGUUCUUUCUAGCCCUUCCCAGACUGACUAUAGGCCAGAGGGGUCUGUAUCUAGAAAUCUUUUAUUACUCUAAGUUGAACAGUUUAAUGAUUAGUCAUUUUAAUUUAGAGUUGAGACACCAUUAGUAUUUGACUGUGGCCUUCUUAUUGAGAACUCUGUUCAACUUUGAAAUGCCAAAGCAGGAGCCUUUGUUCUUUGAUCCUGCUGUGAGUUAAGAAAUUAUUUCUUCAGAAGUGUUUCAUUUUGUGUAAUGAAGUCAAGGGUUAGAGUGACUCAGUGUUCCAUGAGUUAAGUGUCUUUGUAGAAUGAACAGUAAACUUAUCUCCU